GACGAAACGCUGGCGGCGCGCCUAAACACAUGCAAGUCGAACGGAGCAUACGGGAGGAAGUUUUCGGAUGGAAUCCGGUAUUGCUUAGUGGCGGACGGGUGAGUAAACACGUGAGCAACCUGCCUAAUCAGAGGGGGGAUAAACGAUUGGAAACGAUCGCUAAAUACCGCAUAAACGCAGCGAGGAGGCAUCUUCAUGCUGCCAAAAGAAAUAUCGCUGAUAGAUGGGCUCGCGUCCGAUUAGAUAGUUGGUGAGGUAACGGCCACCAAGUCGACGAUCGGUAGCCGGACUGAGAGGUCGAACGGCCACAUUGGGACUGAGAC
RNAcentral lists this ribosomal RNA (323 nucleotides) under uncultured bacterium. Its description in RNAcentral is "bacterial SSU rRNA". It matches the Rfam family "Bacterial small subunit ribosomal RNA", at positions 32 to 325 of the family's 1533-position model. The record is from RNAcentral.